GACGAACGCUGGCGGCGUGCUUAACACAUGCAAGUCGAACGGAAAGGCCCUGCUUUUGUGGGGUGCUCGAGUGGCGAACGGGUGAGUAACACGUGAGUAACCUGCCCUUGACUUUGGGAUAACUUCAGGAAACUGGGGCUAAUACCGGAUAGGAGCUCCUGAUGCAUGGUGGGGGUUGGAAAGUUUCGGCGGUUGGGGAUGGACUCGCGGCUUAUCAGCUUGUUGGUGGGGUAGUGGCUUACCAAGGCUUUGACGGGUAGCCGGCCCGAGAGGGUGACCGGCCACAUUGGGACUGAGAUGCGGCCCAGACUCCUACGGGAGGCAGCAGUGGGGAAUAUUGCACAAUGGGCGGAAGCCUGAUGCAGCAACGCCGCGUGCGGGAUGACGGCCUUCGGGUUGUAAACCGCUUUCGCCUGUGACGAAGCGUGAGUGACGGUAAUGGGUAAAGAAGCACCGGCUAACUACGUG
This 468-nucleotide ribosomal RNA is filed under the name uncultured bacterium. Its description in RNAcentral is "partial 16S ribosomal RNA". It matches the Rfam family "Bacterial small subunit ribosomal RNA", at positions 28 to 507 of the family's 1533-position model. The record is from RNAcentral.